GACGAACGCUGGCGGCGUGCUUAACACAUGCAAGUCGAACGGAAAGGCCCUGCUUUUGUGGGGUGCUCGAGUGGCGAACGGGUGAGUAACACGUGAGUAACCUGCCCUUGACUUUGGGAUAACUUCAGGAAACUGGGGCUAAUACCGGAUAGGAGCUCCUGCUGCAUGGUGGGGGUUGGAAAGUUUCGGCGGUUGGGGAUGGACUCGCGGCUUAUCAGCUUGUUGGUGGGGUAGGGGCUUACCAAGGCUUUGACGGGUAGCCGGCCUGAGAGGGUGACCGGCCACAUUGGGACUGAGAUACGGCCCAGACUCCUACGGGAGGCAGCAGUGGGGAAUAUUGCACAAUGGGCGGAAGCCUGAUGCAGCAACGCCGCGUGCGGGAUGACGGCCUUCGGGUUGUAAACCGCUUUCGCCUGUGACGAAGCGUGAGUGACGGUAAUGGGUAAAGAAGCACCGGCUGACUACGUG
Molecule: ribosomal RNA, 468 nt
Filed under: uncultured bacterium
Lineage: Bacteria
Description: partial 16S ribosomal RNA
Rfam family: Bacterial small subunit ribosomal RNA
Source: RNAcentral